RNAcentral lists this ribosomal RNA (311 nucleotides) under uncultured bacterium. RNAcentral's name for it is "bacterial SSU rRNA". It matches the Rfam family "Bacterial small subunit ribosomal RNA", at positions 28 to 334 of the family's 1533-position model. The record is from RNAcentral.
GAUGAACGCUGGCGGCGUGCCUAAUACAUGCAAGUCGAACGAGCGGAGUCCAGCUUGCUGGAUGGAGCUAGUGGCGAACGGGUGAGUAAUACGUAAGCAACCUGCCUACACGGACUGGGAUAACACCUGGAAACGGGCGCUAAUACCGGAUAGGUAACGGAAGGGCAUCCUUCUGUUAUUAAAGGUUUGAAACACAAGUAGAUGGGCUUACGGUGCAUUAGCUAGUUGGUGAGGUAACGGCCCACCAAGGCGAUGAUGCAUAGCCGGCCUGAGAGGGUGAACGGCCACAUUGGGACUGAGACACGGCCCAG